This 370-nucleotide ribosomal RNA is filed under the name uncultured bacterium. RNAcentral describes it as "bacterial SSU rRNA". It matches the Rfam family "Bacterial small subunit ribosomal RNA", at positions 527 to 896 of the family's 1533-position model. The record is from RNAcentral.
GAAGGGGGCGAGCGUUGUUCGGAUUUACUGGGCGUAAAGGGCGCGCAGGCGGCUAUUUUUGUCAGGCGUGAAAGUCCCGGGCUUAACCUGGGAACUGCGCUUGAGACGGGAUGGCUAGAGAUCGGGAGAGGAGAGUGGAAUUCCCAGUGUAGAGGUGAAAUUCGUAGAUAUUGGGAAGAACACCGGUGGCGAAGGCGGCUCUCUGGACCGAUACUGACGCUGAGGCGCGAAAGCGUGGGGAGCAAACAGGAUUAGAUACCCUGGUAGUCCACGCUGUAAACGAUGUGUGCUAGACGUUGGGGAGCCUAGCUCUUCGGUGUCGCAGCUAACGCUUUAAGCACACCGCCUGGGGAGUACGGCCGCAAGGUUA